UACGUAGGUGGCGAGCGUUGUCCGGAAUUAUUGGGCGUAAAGCGCGCGUAGGCGGGUUGGCCCGUCUGUUGUAAAAACGCGGGGCUCAACCCCGUAAGUGCAAUGGAAACUGCUAUUCUUGAGUGCAGGAGAGGAAAGUGGAAUUCCCGGUGUAGCGGUGAAAUGCGUAGAUAUUGGGAGGAACACCAGUGGCGAAGGCGACUUUCUGGACUGUGUCUGACGCUGAGGCGCGAAAGCCAGGGGAGCGAACGGG
RNAcentral lists this ribosomal RNA (253 nucleotides) under uncultured bacterium. RNAcentral's name for it is "partial 16S ribosomal RNA". It matches the Rfam family "Bacterial small subunit ribosomal RNA", at positions 524 to 776 of the family's 1533-position model. The record is from RNAcentral.